GACUCUCGGCAACGGAUAUCUCGGCUCUCGCAUCGAUGAAGAACGUAGCGAAAUGCGAUACCUGGUGUGAAUUGCAGAAUCCUGCGAACCAUUGAGUCUUUGAACGCAAGUUGCGCCCGAGGCCACUCGGCCGAGGGCACGCCUGCCUGGGCGUCA
RNAcentral lists this ribosomal RNA (156 nucleotides) under Triticum aestivum (bread wheat). RNAcentral describes it as "rRNA 5_8S_rRNA". It matches the Rfam family "5.8S ribosomal RNA". Rfam says of the family: 5.8S ribosomal RNA (5.8S rRNA) is a component of the large subunit of the eukaryotic ribosome. It is transcribed by RNA polymerase I as part of the 45S precursor that also contains 18S and 28S rRNA. Lineage: Eukaryota; Viridiplantae; Streptophyta; Magnoliopsida; Poales; Poaceae. The record is from RNAcentral.